GCUCAGGAUGAACGNCGGCGGUGUGCCUAAUACAUGCAAGUCGAACGCGUUGGCCCAAUUGAUUGAUGGUGCUUGCACCUGAUUGAUUUUGGUCGCUAACGAGUGGCGGACGGGUGAGUAACACGUAGGUAACCUGCCCAGAAGCGGGGGACAACAUUUGGAAACAGAUGCUAAUACCGCAUAACAACGUUGUUCGCAUGAACAACGCUUAAAAGAUGGCUUCUCGCUAUCACUUCUGGAUGGACCUGCGGUGCAUUAGCUUGUUGGUGGGGUAAUGGCCUACCAAGGCGAUGAUGCAUAGCCGAGUUGAGAGACUGAUCGGCCACAAUGGGACUGAGACACGGCCCAUACUCCUACGGGAGGCAGCAGUAGGGAAUCUUCCACAAUGGGCGCAAGCCUGAUGGAGCAACACCGCGUGAGUGAAGAAGGGUUUCGGCUCGUAAAGCUCUGUUGUUAAAGAAGAACACGUAUGAGAGUAACUGUUCAUACGUUGACGGUAUUUAACCAGAAAGUCACGGCUAACUACGUGCCAGCAGCCGCGGUAAUACGUAGGUGGCAAGCGUUAUCCGGAUUUAUUGGGCGUAAAGAGAGUGCAGGCGGUUUUCUAAGUCUGAUGUGAAAGCCUUCGGCUUAACCGGAGAAGUGCAUCGGAAACUGGAUAACUUGAGUGCAGAAGAGGGUAGUGGAACUCCAUGUGUAGCGGUGGAAUGCGUAGAUAUAUGGAAGAACACCAGUGGCGAAGGCGGCUACCUGGUCUGCAACUGACGCUGAGACUCGAAAGCAUGGGUAGCGAACAGGAUUAGAUACCCUGGUAGUCCAUGCCGUAAACGAUGAGUGCUAGGUGUUGGAGGGUUUCCGCCCUUCAGUGCCGGAGCUAACGCAUUAAGCACUCCGCCUGGGGAGUACGACCGCAAGGUUGAAACUCAAAGGAAUUGACGGGGGCCCGCACAAGCGGUGGAGCAUGUGGUUUAAUUCGAAGCUACGCGAAGAACCUUACCAGGUCUUGACAUCUUGCGCCAACCCUAGAGAUAGGGCGUUUCCUUCGGGAACGCAAUGACAGGUGGUGCAUGGUCGUCGUCAGCUCCUGUCCUGAAAUGUUGGGUUAAGUCCCGCAACGAGCGCAACCCUUGUUACUAGUUGCCAGCAUUAAGUGGGGACUCUAAUGAGACUGCCGGUGACAAACCGGAA
Molecule: ribosomal RNA, 1188 nt
Filed under: Limosilactobacillus fermentum
Lineage: Bacteria; Bacillati; Bacillota; Bacilli; Lactobacillales; Lactobacillaceae
Description: bacterial SSU rRNA
Rfam family: Bacterial small subunit ribosomal RNA
Source: RNAcentral